RNAcentral lists this ribosomal RNA (543 nucleotides) under Tardiomyces blankii. Its description in RNAcentral is "eukaryotic LSU rRNA". It matches the Rfam family "Eukaryotic large subunit ribosomal RNA", at positions 88 to 657 of the family's 3401-position model. The record is from RNAcentral. Lineage: Eukaryota; Fungi; Ascomycota; Dipodascomycetes; Dipodascales; Trichomonascaceae.
GGCGAGUGAAGCAGCCAAAGCUCAAAUUUGAAAGCUCCUAACAAGGCGCAUUGUAAUUUGAAGAUGGUAUUCCGAGUUAGUCCUUUACCUCAGUUCCUUGGAACAGGACGCCAUAGAGGGUGAGAGCCCCGUGUGGUAUUGGUAGCUUUCUCAUGUGGUUUACCUUCGAAGAGUCGAGUUGUUUGGGAAUGCAGCUCUAAGUGGGUGGUAAAUUCCAUCUAAAGCUAAAUAUUGGCGAGAGACCGAUAGCGAACAAGUACUGUGAAGGAAAGAUGAAAAGAACUUUGAAAAGAGAGUGAAAAAGUACGUGAAAUUGUUGAAAGGGAAGGGAAUUGGACUAGACUUGGAUUUCUGUUAUCAGCAGUCUUUCGGGGCUGUGCACUAGCAGUUUUCUAGGCCAGGAUCUGUUUGGAGGCCAGGAUAAAACCCAAAGAAUGUGGCUCUUCGGAGUGUUAUAGCUUUGGUUGAAUACUGGCAUUCUGGACAGAGGACCGCGCUUCGUGCUAGGAUCCUGGCGUAAUAGUCCUAUUCCACCCGUCUUGA